Molecule: long non-coding RNA, 683 nt
Organism: Chenopodium quinoa (quinoa)
Lineage: Eukaryota; Viridiplantae; Streptophyta; Magnoliopsida; Caryophyllales; Amaranthaceae
Exons: 3
Source: RefSeq, a predicted model, not a curated record
GGGUACCCAUUAAAUACCCGGAUUUUUUUUUAUUAGCUGUAACUCAAAUUAGGGUUACUUACUUUCAUCUACUCUUCUCUGUCCUCACUUUCUCAGACAAGCAGUAACUAGCAGCCGCACUCCAUUUUUCCUCACUCCUCUACUCUAUCUCAAUUCCAAAACAGUCAACACACCGUCCUUCCUCCCUCUCAGGCAAACAUCCUUCCUCUCUCUCAGGCGAACGUCCUUCCUUCGUCAGUCCUCACCGUCAGCCCUAUAAGUUUUCCAAGAUUGGAUGUGUCAUUCUAAUACCCCUAUUGCUAUUGUGGAAAGCUUGCUUGAGUUGGAGAAUAUGGAAGAAGAAGGGAUUACAGACUUGGUUUCGGAGCAACCAACAAUUUUCAUUGAUGAAACUAUUGAAGCUUCGGAUGUUACAAGUGACUGAAAUUAUCCCCUCUCCCAUUUAGUUUGAUUUGUGGCUUUAAGACAUUGUUUGGACUUUGUAAUUUAUUUGGUUGUUUAAUUUGUUGAUUUAAUUUGAUGUAGACUCUUUAAACUCUCUGGCUAUGGCUAGUGCAGUCUGGACACUUUGAACUUUAGUUAGCAUUUUGUACUUUGAAUCAGAAUUUGUUUGAAUUAUGAGAAUAUUUGUACUAAAACAGGUGUACAACCCCAUAUAAGAAGAAUUGUAGGGAUUUGCAGCA